This 88-nucleotide unclassified non-coding RNA is filed under the name Pseudomonas salomonii. The record is from RNAcentral. Lineage: Bacteria; Pseudomonadati; Pseudomonadota; Gammaproteobacteria; Pseudomonadales; Pseudomonadaceae.
GUGGGAGCGGGCUUGCUCGCGAAUACAGUGUGUCAGUCAAUAGAUUCAUCGACUGAUUCACCGCAUUCGCGAGCAAGCUCGCUCCCAC